AUGGGGACUUGUAUCAACGGCAUCACGAGGGCCAUACUGUCUCCUUUUUCCAAUCAGUGAAACUGAUCUUCCCGUGAAGAAGCGGGAAUUAACCUAUAAGACGAGAAGACCCCAUGGAGCUUUAAACCCAACAACAAGUCUAAAUAAACAUACCCUAAAAAUUAGUGACACCUGAACUGUUGGUUUUAGGUUGGGGUGACCGCGGAGUAUAAAUUAACCUCCACGACGAACGGGACUAAACCCUUAUCUACGAGCCACCGCUCUAAGAAUCAGCACACUGACUUCUAAUGAUCCGAUAUUCGAUCAACGAACCAAGUUACCCUGGGGAUAACAGCGCUAUCCAUUUCAAGAGCUCCUAUCGACAAAUGGGUUUACGACCUCGAUGUUGGAUCAGGGUAUCCUAGUGGUGCAGCCGCUACUAAAGGUUUGUUUGUUCAACAAUUAAAACCC
This 450-nucleotide ribosomal RNA is filed under the name Indirana brachytarsus (Anamallais Indian frog). RNAcentral describes it as "partial 16S ribosomal RNA". It matches the Rfam family "Bacterial large subunit ribosomal RNA", at positions 1980 to 2596 of the family's 2925-position model. Lineage: Eukaryota; Metazoa; Chordata; Amphibia; Anura; Ranixalidae. The record is from RNAcentral.